Xiphophorus couchianus (Monterrey platyfish) is the source of this 837-nucleotide long non-coding RNA. RefSeq lists it as uncharacterized. The record is from RefSeq and is a predicted model, not a curated record. Lineage: Eukaryota; Metazoa; Chordata; Actinopteri; Cyprinodontiformes; Poeciliidae. The transcript has 2 exons.
GCAGAACCAGCGAAUAACUGUCCUUGCGGUAGUGGUGUGGCAGAAAAAAGGGCAUAUCCACUCCUGGAGGACCCGGGAGCAACAGACAUACCCAUCUGCAGCAGAGAAAUUCAGACACAAGAACCUUAAACAUAAAUAUCUUAAAUAACUCUGAUUGCUGGAUGCCAUUUCUUCAGUUUAAGUUAAAUAUUUAUGUGGACCAUAAACAGAAACUAAAAAUCUGUGCAGGACAUUGCCUGGAUGGACAAUUUUAUUCAUUACUUGGUGCUUAUUUUGCUUAAAGGCGACCUUUUAUGCUCUCCUGAACAGGUUAAGACAGGACUAUGGGUGAUACAAAUCAUCUUCAUUACAUUUUUUGCACAAAAUCAUUCUUAGAUAAUGAGAUAUGAAUCUGGUCAGUUCUGUCCAUUUUGAGCUCCUUUCAGAAUGAGCUGUCAUUAUCCCCACUUCAUAAUAACACAACUAUAGACUUUUUUUUAUCCUAAUAGUAUCUCCCUUUACACGAGUCAGACUGAUCUAAACAUUAGGAAAUAUUUAUGUAAACAGGCCUGGUUUUGGUUCUGACAUUAAUAAUACAUUCAACUAAUGAGAAAGGUGAAUUAAAAUGCUCCAGAAAAAAUUGCAAGUUCAUACCACUGCCUAUAAGCAGCUUAAAGUUUCAAUAUAGAUACUCCAUGAGUACUGGUUUUUGUUGAGCAUUAUCACUAAAUAAGACCCAGAUGAAACUCUGACCAUGCUGUAAAGUGAAAGCCAUAUUAAAUAAAAAGUCAUAUCAAUAAAUGUGUGUGAAGGUUUGUACUUCUACCUGGGGGAUCUCACGUCUCUGUAAAAGAAACA